Molecule: long non-coding RNA, 246 nt
Organism: Balaenoptera musculus (blue whale)
Lineage: Eukaryota; Metazoa; Chordata; Mammalia; Artiodactyla; Balaenopteridae
Exons: 3
Source: RefSeq, a predicted model, not a curated record
CUGUCGCAAAAGUAGUGCGAGUUCUUCCGUCACUGACUGCGCCCUAGGAGGAGUAAUGCGUGCUGGAGAACGUAGUCCCCCAGGUUCCCGUUUGUCCUAUCCCGCCUCACUUUCGUGAAGAGAACUUUCCCAUCUAUUUCUGCCUGUUGAAGAAGGGACUCCUUACAGAGAGGCUCAGACCAUGCUGUCCACAGUCCAAGGCUGCCCUAGAUGAGCAAACUGAGACACAGAGAGGCUAAAGAGCUU